This 435-nucleotide ribosomal RNA is filed under the name uncultured bacterium. Its description in RNAcentral is "partial 16S ribosomal RNA". It matches the Rfam family "Bacterial small subunit ribosomal RNA", at positions 29 to 507 of the family's 1533-position model. The record is from RNAcentral.
AGCGAACGCUGGCGGCAGGCUUAACACAUGCGAGUCGAGCGGGCGUAGCAAUACGUCAGCGGCAGACGGGUGAGUAACGCGUGGGAACGUACCUUUUGGUUCGGAACAACACAGGGAAACUUGUGCUAAUACCGGAUAAGCCCUUACGGGGAAAGAUUUAUCGCCGAAAGAUCGGCCCGCGUCUGAUUAGCUAGUUGGUGAGGUAACGGCUCACCAAGGCGACGAUCAGUAGCUGGUCUGAGAGGAUGAUCAGCCACAUUGGGAAUGAGACACGGCCCAAACCCCUCCGGGAGGAAGAAGUGGGGAAUAUUGGAAAAGGGGGAAAACCCUGAUCCAGCCAUGCGGCGUGAGGAAGGAAGCCCCUAGGGUUGUAAACCUUUUUUGUGCGGGAGGAAAAGCAGGGUACCGAAAAAAAAACCCCGGCCUAACUUCGUG